Molecule: transfer RNA, 72 nt
Filed under: Mus musculus (house mouse)
Lineage: Eukaryota; Metazoa; Chordata; Mammalia; Rodentia; Muridae
Rfam family: tRNA
About the family: Transfer RNA (tRNA) molecules are approximately 80 nucleotides in length. Their secondary structure includes four short double-helical elements and three loops (D, anti-codon, and T loops).
Source: Rfam by way of RNAcentral
GCCUUCUUAGUGUAGUAGGCAGCGCGUCAGUCUCAUAAUCUGAGGUCCUGAGUUCAAACCUCUGAGUGGGCA